RNAcentral lists this ribosomal RNA (433 nucleotides) under uncultured bacterium. RNAcentral's name for it is "partial 16S ribosomal RNA". It matches the Rfam family "Bacterial small subunit ribosomal RNA", at positions 29 to 507 of the family's 1533-position model. The record is from RNAcentral.
AACGAACGCUGGCGGCAUGCCUAACACAUGCCAGUCGAACGAGACCUUCGGGUCUAGUGGCGCACGGGUGCGUAACGCGUGGGAACCUGCCCUUAGGUUCGGGAUAACUCCCCGAAAGGGGUGCUAAUACCGGAUAAUGUCUUCGGACCAAAGAUUUAUCGCCUUUGGAUGGGCCCGCGUUGGAUUAGCUAGUUGGUAGGGUAAAAGCCUACCAAGGCGACGAUCCAUAGCUGGUCUGAGAGGAUGAUCAGCCACACUGGGACUGAGACACGGCCCAGACUCCUACGGGAGGCAGCAGUGGGGAAUAUUGGACAAUGGGCGAAAGCCUGAUCCAGCAAUGCCGCGUGAGUGAUGAAGGCCUUAGGGUUGUAAAGCUCUUUUACCCGGGAUGAUAAUGACAGUACCGGGAGAAUAAGCGCCGGCUAACUCCGUG